CUCGUCCAUGUCUUCCUUAUAC
Molecule: microRNA, 22 nt
Filed under: Heligmosomoides polygyrus
Lineage: Eukaryota; Metazoa; Nematoda; Chromadorea; Rhabditida; Heligmosomidae
Description: hpo-miR-10031c-3p
Source: miRBase by way of RNAcentral